GAAUCACUAGUGAUUUUCCGGUUGAUCCUGCCGGAGGUCACUGCUAUCGGGGUUCGAUUAAGCCAUGCGAGUUGAGAGGGUUUAGACCCUCGGCGGACUGCUCAGUAACACGUGGAUAACCUGCCCUAAGGUGGAGGAUACCCCGGGAAACUGGGGAUAAUACUCCAUAGACCAGAGUGACUGGAAUGUUUUCUGGUCGAUAGUUCCGGCGCCUUAGGAUGGAUCUGCGGACGAUUAGGUAGUUGUAGGGGUAACGGCCCAACAAGCCAGUCAUCGGUACGGGUUGUGGGAGCAAGAGCCCGGAGAUGGAAUCUGAGACACGAUUCCAGGCCCUACGGGGCGCAGCAGGCGCGAAAACUUUACAAUGCAGGAAACUGUGAUAAGGGAACCCCGAGUGCUCGUACACGCGAGCUGUCCAGGUGUGUAAAAAGCAUCUGAAGAAAGGGCCGGGCAAGACCGGUGCCAGCCGCCGCGGUAAUACCGGCGGCUCGAGUGGUGGCCACUAUUAUUGGGCUUAAAGCGUUCGUAGCUGGACUCUUAAGUCUCCUGGGAAAUCCGCCGGCUCAACCGGCGGGCGUCCAGGAGAUACUGGGAGUCUUG
Molecule: ribosomal RNA, 600 nt
Filed under: uncultured archaeon
Lineage: Archaea
Description: bacterial SSU rRNA
Rfam family: Archaeal small subunit ribosomal RNA
Source: RNAcentral